Long non-coding RNA from Halichondria panicea, 840 nucleotides. RefSeq lists it as uncharacterized. The record is from RefSeq and is a predicted model, not a curated record. The transcript has 2 exons. Lineage: Eukaryota; Metazoa; Porifera; Demospongiae; Suberitida; Halichondriidae.
UUCAAGCUUUGAAGUGGCCACUGCUAAUGAGGUGUCUAUCCAACUAAGAAACCUGCUAGCAGGUCACUAUCUGAGUUAGUGACCUGCUAGCAGGGCUCUAACUAGUACCCACAAAAAUGCAUUUUCUAAGCGAGAUAGACCAUGUGUAGUAAGGCUUCUUAGCUGGAUAGUAACCCUCAGAGUGAUUAGUGGCUUCUAUGCUGCGCUGCUAAUCACUCCGAGGGUUACUAUCCACUAAGUAAGUUACUUACGCGGGUAACUGAGAUUACUGCAAAUCUAAGUUGCAACUUCUUCAUUGAAUUUAGUAGAUUGUGGUGAAGGGCCUGUAGGCCCGAGAUAUUUAUCUACUACAAAUGCUGUUUCAUCUAUAUUUAAUACCUUGCAAGCCGAAACUUACUGAGUAUGCUGAAGAAAGAAGACAAAAGAAUACCCCUCCUCUCUACACCCCUACACGUCACCACCCUCGUAAAUGUUAUCGGCUGUUCCGGCUAUAUAUACCCCUUGUAUACCUCACCAGCUUCUCUUCAUCAAAGACUGUCUGAUUAGAGUGCUAAACUAAUCAUAAUUAUAGCUAUAAUAAUCAUUUUUAUCGUGUAAGUUUUUGUGUUGUUCGGUUUGAUCCCACUCGUUUUACACUUAAAAAGCAACUGGCAGUGCUGUGGAAGUGUAUGUAAUUAUACUUAAUGAAUUGGAAAUUGAAAUGUACGCUCACCAGCCUAGUAGAAACUUCGUACAAUUGAUUCAUCAAAAGUGAAAACAAUUAUUUAAUAUCUUUAAGAAAGUUACAUGGUGUAUUAUGUAUCUUGUCAUGUGAAUGAUCAUGGUUAUUGCCUCAAACUA